RNAcentral lists this ribosomal RNA (318 nucleotides) under uncultured Planctomycetota bacterium. Its description in RNAcentral is "bacterial SSU rRNA". It matches the Rfam family "Bacterial small subunit ribosomal RNA", at positions 29 to 351 of the family's 1533-position model. The record is from RNAcentral. Lineage: Bacteria; Pseudomonadati; Planctomycetota.
AAUGAACGUUGGCGGCGUGGAUUAGGCAUGCAAGUCGUGGGAGAACCCGCAAGGGGGAAACCGGCGAACGGGGUAGGACAACAUCGGUAACGUACCCUCGGGACGGGGAUAGCGGCGGGAAACUGCCGGUAAUACCCGAUGAUCUGGCAGCACUGCGAUGGCUGCCAGCAAAGGUGUGAUUCCACCAGGGGAGCGGCUGAUGCGCUAUUAGCUAGUUGGCGAGGUCACGGCUCACCAAGGCGACGAUGGCUAGGGGGUGUGAGAGCAUGGCCCCCACCACUGGCACUGAGACACUGGCCAGACACCUACGGGAGGCAG